Molecule: ribosomal RNA, 367 nt
Filed under: uncultured bacterium
Lineage: Bacteria
Description: partial 16S ribosomal RNA
Rfam family: Bacterial small subunit ribosomal RNA
Source: RNAcentral
CCUACGGGUGGCAGCAGUGAGGAAUAUUGGUCAAUGGACGAGAGUCUGAACCAGCCAAGUAGCGUGAAGGAUGACUGCCCUAUGGGUUGUAAACUUCUUUUAUAUGGGAAUAAAACAGGGUAUGCAUACCCUCUUGUAUGUACCAGAUGAAUAAGGAUCGGCUAACUCCGUGCCAGCAGCCGCGGUAAUACGGAGGAUCCGAGCGUUAACCGGAUUUAUUGGGUUUAAAGGGAGCGUAGGUGGAUUGUUAAGUCCGUGGUGAAAGUUUGCGGCUCAACCGUACAAUUGCAGUUGAAACUGGCAGUCUUGAGUACAGUAGAGGUGGGCGUAAUUCGUUGUGUAGCGGUGAAAUGCUUAGAUAUCACGA